GACGAACGCUGGCGGCGUGCUUAACACAUGCAAGUCGAGCGGAAAGGCCUCUUCGGGGGUACUCGAGCGGCGAACGGGUGAGUAACACGUGAGUAACCUGCCCCCUACUUGGGGAUAACCAUCGGAAACGGUGGCUAAUACCGGAUAUGAUCUUGCUCGGCAUCGGGUGGGGUGGAAAGUUUUUCGGUGGGGGAUGGGCUCGCGGCCUAUCAGCUUGUUGGUGGGGUGAUGGCCUACCAAGGCGGUGACGGGUAGCCGGCCUGAGAGGGCGACCGGCCACACUGGGACUGAGACACGGCCCAGACUCCUACGGGAGGCAGCAGUGGGGAAUAUUGCGCAAUGGGCGAAAGCCUGACGCAGCGACGCCGCGUG
RNAcentral lists this ribosomal RNA (372 nucleotides) under uncultured bacterium. RNAcentral describes it as "bacterial SSU rRNA". It matches the Rfam family "Bacterial small subunit ribosomal RNA", at positions 28 to 403 of the family's 1533-position model. The record is from RNAcentral.